CGCGGUACGAGCAUGACAACUGGCCGACCUUUACUCAACAGAAGUUAUUUCUCCUGUCGGCCCAAAAACUGCGAGCGAAGAGUGGCAAGGCUACGUUGGUUCUACCCAUUCUCUGCCCCCCAUUAUAUCUAGCGCCCUUCUGGGCUUGGGUAUUGUAAAAAGUGCAUCAGUACAAUGAUCCCACCUUAAAGACGACAUGCAGGCAAUGCAACUUGAAUUGCCGCAAGCCACAUAAACAGACAAGAUCAUCACUGCAGUUGAACCAUGAAGACAUUUCCAUCAGAAUACAAGUGGCACUGUUGUGAAGGUGCAUCAUGCUUCAAAAGCAGUAGUGAGAGUGGUACAUAACAUGCAAAAUCAGAGCGCUUUUGAUGUUUUGUUUCCUGCCAACAACAGUGCCGAGUUGCUUUUGUGCUGAUUUCAAUGCUGUACGCGGCUGUUUGUAUAACUUAUAUGUGCUGUCAAGCUUAUGCUAGACUGCAAGGUGCAGCCAAGCAACGACCACACAGAACGGCAACACUUCACCCAGACAAGAAAAUAAAGGACACCAAGAAGAGCACAGUAAUAUAAUGCAGAAAAAGCUUUGCUUACUUUAACAAUCAUAUUCAAUGACUAGUGUUUUUUAUCCAAGAGUUGUAAGCGCAUGUGCAGGUUAUACACAGGGCAGAUGGUACAUGCAAAAAGAUAAAAGAUAGUUACAGAAGGUUUGACUAUAUUUAUGAAGAUAAUCUGUAAAAGAUUAAUUGGCACAUCUUGCAUACACAAGAAAACAGCGCAAAAGCAAAACAAACCAGAUGGACGAACGAAGUGCCGACACGGCGUUUUAUUUGUCCUCUUCAUCUGCCCUUGUAUAUUUGUGCCAUCUUCUCAGGCCUGUUUAUGAGAAUCACAGAAUGUGCUCAAUUGCUCAAUGUGCUAAGGGAACUAAUGGUAGAAGACCUCA
Dermacentor albipictus is the source of this 943-nucleotide long non-coding RNA. RefSeq lists it as uncharacterized. NCBI's taxonomy places the organism in Eukaryota, Metazoa, Arthropoda, Arachnida, Ixodida, Ixodidae. The record is from RefSeq and is a predicted model, not a curated record.